UACGUAGGGGGCAAGCGUUGUCCGGAAUCAUUGGGCGUAAAGCGCGUGUAGGCGGCUGGCUAAGUCCGCUCUGAAAGCCCGGGGCUCAACCCCGGGAGGCGGGUGGAUACUGGUCAGCUCGAGUCCGGAAGAGGGGUGUGGAAUUCCUGGUGUAGCGGUGAAAUGCGCAGAUAUCAGGAGGAACACCAAUGGCGAAGGCAGCACUCUGGGACGGUACUGACGCUGAGACGCGAAAGCGUGGGGAGCAAACAGG
RNAcentral lists this ribosomal RNA (253 nucleotides) under uncultured bacterium. RNAcentral describes it as "partial 16S ribosomal RNA". It matches the Rfam family "Bacterial small subunit ribosomal RNA", at positions 524 to 776 of the family's 1533-position model. The record is from RNAcentral.